UACACUCCUGCGGGAGGCAGCAGUGAGGAAUAUUGGACAAUGGGUGGAAGCCUGAUCCAGCCAUCCCGCGUGCAGGAAGACGGCCCUAUGGGUUGUAAACUGCUUUUAUCUGGGGAUAAACCUACUUACGUGUAAGUAGCUGAAGGUACCAGAAGAAUAAGCACCGGCUAACUCCGUGCCAGCAGCCGCGGUAAUACGGAGGGUGCAAGCGUUAUCCGGAUUUAUUGGGUUUAAAGGGUCCGUAGGCGGACUGAUAAGUCAGUGGUGAAAUCCGACAGCUUAACUGUCGAACUGCCAUUGAUACUGUUAGUCUUGAGUAAGGUUGAAGUGGCUGGAAUAAGUAGUGUAGCGGUGAAAUGCAUAGAUAUUACUUAGAACACCAAUUGCGAAGGCAGGUCACUAAGUCUUAACUGACGCUGAUGGACGAAAGCGUGGGGAGCGAACAGGAUUAGAAACCCCGGUAGUCCCAUG
Molecule: ribosomal RNA, 471 nt
Filed under: uncultured organism
Description: partial 16S ribosomal RNA
Rfam family: Bacterial small subunit ribosomal RNA
Source: RNAcentral